Molecule: ribosomal RNA, 253 nt
Filed under: uncultured bacterium
Lineage: Bacteria
Description: partial 16S ribosomal RNA
Rfam family: Bacterial small subunit ribosomal RNA
Source: RNAcentral
UACGAAGGGGGCUAGCGUUGCUCGGAAUGACUGGGCGUAAAGGGCGCGUAGGCGGCUUGCACCGUCAGAUGUGAAAUUCCUGGGCUUAACCUGGGGGCUGCAUUUGAUACGUGUGGGCUUGAGUGCGGAAGAGGGUCGUGGAAUUCCCAGUGUAGAGGUGAAAUUCGUAGAUAUUGGGAAGAACACCGGUGGCGAAGGCGGAUCUCUGGGCCUUACCUGACGCUCAGGUGCGAAAGCUAGGGGAGCGAACAGG